RNAcentral lists this long non-coding RNA (392 nucleotides) under Homo sapiens (human). RNAcentral describes it as "HSALNT0182594". The record is from RNAcentral. Lineage: Eukaryota; Metazoa; Chordata; Mammalia; Primates; Hominidae.
CCGGAAACCAAAGACCAAAUCUAAAUAAUGUUAAGAAGACGUGGCCUUCUACAAAGGGGACCAAGCUGGGAAUCACAGGAGCUUCUUGGCAGUACAAUCAUCUGAGACAGCUGAACCAACUGGGUGUGAAAAGUCUUCUGAUGACCCUGCUAGAUUCUUCAGGCUAAUAAGCAGUUUUUCAACAGAGACUUCAACUCAGACGCACCUUUUGAUGAUACGGUAUAUUUCUUCUAUUUUUUGCCUGGUGUUCUUUCAUGCUGUUUGGGCCAGUUGGUUACUUUUUUUCUGACUUGAACAAAGAUAAAGUAAGAUAGUUAUUUUCCUCUGAUCUAUAAACAUAGUUUUGAGAUAUUGUUUAGGAUUGAUGAUAAUAAAUUAAAAUAGUAGAAUGC